UACAGAGGUUCCAAGCGUUGUUCGGAUUCAUUGGGCGUAAAGGGUGCGUAGGCGGUGGGGUAAGUUGGAUGUGAAAUCUUGGGGCUUAACCUCAAAAUUGCAUUCAAUACUGCUCCGCUCGAGUUCUGUAGAGGAGAUUGGAAUUUACGGUGUAGCAGUGAAAUGCGUAGAUAUCGUAAGGAACGCCAGUGGCGAAAGCGAAUCUCUGGGCAGCAACUGACGCUGAGGCACGAAGGCCAGGGGAGCAAACGGG
Molecule: ribosomal RNA, 253 nt
Filed under: uncultured bacterium
Lineage: Bacteria
Description: partial 16S ribosomal RNA
Rfam family: Bacterial small subunit ribosomal RNA
Source: RNAcentral